UGGCAUAAUCAGCAGGGGCUACCAUC
This 26-nucleotide non-coding RNA is filed under the name Homo sapiens (human). The record is from RNAcentral. Lineage: Eukaryota; Metazoa; Chordata; Mammalia; Primates; Hominidae.